CAGUAGCCGCGGGAAUACGAAGGGGGCUAGCAUUGUUCGGAUUUACUGGGCGUAAAGCGCACGUAGGCGGAUCGAUCAGUCAGGGGUGAAAUCCCAGAGCUCAACUCUGGAACUGCCUUUGGUACUGUCGAUCUGGAGUAUGGAAGAGGUGAGUGGAAUUCCGAGUGUAGAGGUGAGAUUCGUAGAUAUUCGGAGGAACACCAGUGGCGAAGGCGGCUCACUGGUCCAUUACUGACGCUGAGGUGCGAAAGCGUGGGGAGCAAACAGGAUUAGAUACCCCCGUAGUCCCUGUCUCUUAUAC
RNAcentral lists this ribosomal RNA (301 nucleotides) under uncultured bacterium. Its description in RNAcentral is "partial 16S ribosomal RNA". It matches the Rfam family "Bacterial small subunit ribosomal RNA", at positions 509 to 807 of the family's 1533-position model. The record is from RNAcentral.